RNAcentral lists this ribosomal RNA (465 nucleotides) under uncultured bacterium. RNAcentral describes it as "bacterial SSU rRNA". It matches the Rfam family "Bacterial small subunit ribosomal RNA", at positions 328 to 792 of the family's 1533-position model. The record is from RNAcentral.
UGGCCAGACUCCUACGGGAGGCAGCAGUGAGGAAUAUUGGUCAAUGGGCGAGAGCCUGAACCAGCCAAGUCGCGUGAGGGAGUACUGCCCUAUGGGUUGUAAACCUCUUUUGUCGGGGAGCAAAAGCCGGACGUGUCCGGCUGUGAGAGUACCCGAAGAAAAAGCAUCGGCUAACUCCGUGCCAGCAGCCGCGGUAAUACGGAGGAUGCGAGCGUUAUCCGGAUUUAUUGGGUUUAAAGGGUGCGCAGGCGGAUUUUUAAGUCAGCGGUCAAAUCGUGGGGCUCAACCCCGUCCGGCCGUUGAAACUGGGGGCCUUGAGUGGGCGAGAAGAAGGCGGAAUGCGUGGUGUAGCGGUGAAAUGCAUAGAUAUCACGCAGAACCCCGAUUGCGAAGGCAGCCUUCCGGCGCCCUACUGACGCUGAGGCACGAAAGCGUGGGUAUCGAACAGGAUUAGAUACCCGAGUA